Molecule: long non-coding RNA, 815 nt
Organism: Eptesicus fuscus (big brown bat)
Lineage: Eukaryota; Metazoa; Chordata; Mammalia; Chiroptera; Vespertilionidae
Exons: 3
Source: RefSeq, a predicted model, not a curated record
UACUGCCGUAGCCCGUUAGUCUCGGAGCCCACGGUGCGGGUGCGGGUUCCUUCCCCGACGAAGGGCGGCCUGGCUCCCAGGGAAAAGCCGUGGCCUCUCCAGGCCUCCAGCGUCCUUUUGUUCUCUAAUACCCGCCCAGCGCCAGUUACCAGAAGCCAUGACGUGUCCCUGCGUCGGCCCAGCCUGGCCGAAGACAGAGGAAGAGCAAGCUGGACCCCAAGUCGAGGGAGGAGCCCGAAGACUCAAAGGAAGGACUGCGUCAGACUCCCCAUAGGACUGCAUCUGACUCCCCAUAGGUUCAUUACUCCCCCGCUCAGACGGGGAUGAGGGAAGCUCCUUGCUUCUCUCACCUGUAUCACCGUCCCCAAGGGCCCGGAAUCUCAGUGCUCAGACCCCCGCACCCCAGAGUUCUUCCAUUGGCCAUCAGAAACACUGGGAGGGCCCUGGUCUCUUGCCUUUUCCCCCAUCACCUGCCCCUCAACUGGGAACGGCAAGAAGGCCCCACGUUGGGUGCCACCUCCCGGUCCCCGGGGGAGGCUGCAGUCCUGUCAAUGCCACAGCCUCCUAAUCCCAAGAAAGAUCCAUUCUGGCGAGCCUCGGUGUGUCAUUCUAGAUCUGGAAUAUUCUACCCAUGAUGUGUGCUCAGGGCCAACCCCACCCCAAAUUCAUGUCCUUCCAAUCCCAGGCUCAGCCCAGCCCAGCCCAGCCCCUCUUCCUUGGCACCCUAUCUCGUUCGCCUGUGCUCCUGGAGGACAAGACACUGUUUCUCAUGCAUUUCUGGAUCCUGGGUGCCUCGCUCAGGGGUGGGCAUGCAU